This 305-nucleotide long non-coding RNA is filed under the name Physcomitrium patens. RNAcentral's name for it is "long non-coding RNA (PPAT_LNC000248)". The record is from RNAcentral. Lineage: Eukaryota; Viridiplantae; Streptophyta; Bryopsida; Funariales; Funariaceae.
UCAGUAGUUAAAAUGGAUGAAUAGUUAGGAAAAGUAGUUUUCAUUAGAGAUGUAGCAGUUGGUAUCUUGUGGUAGGAUAAGGAGGAUGAGAGAGAGGAAGAAAUCGCCAUUACUGUGAUAGUGUGAGCCGGGGUAAGCUUGGUGCUACCUCUUUUCUUUUGUUGUUAUGUUCUUUGAAAUAAGAGUAUUGAGAGUUUCUGAAUAUUGUGAAGUGAAUCAUGGAAUGAAAGUGUGAAUGGAAUUAUAUGUUAUUGAAUGAGAAGAAGAGAGAUUGAAUGCUGAAAUCUGAAUGUAGUUCAGUAGAA